GAUGAAGAACGCAGCGAAAUGCGAUAAGUAAUGUGAAUUGCAGAAUUCAGUGAAUCAUCGAAUCUUUGAACGCAUCUUGCGCUCCUUGGUAUUCUGAGGAGCAUGCCUGUUUGAGUGUCAUUAAAUUCUCAACCGCACUGACUUUGAAUUGGUGUGGCUUGGAUUUGGGGGGAAAAUUGUUGUGGGCUUUUUUGUAUAGUCUGCUCCCCUGAAAUUGAUUAGCGGUACCUUUGUGGAACUGUCUACAGGUGUGAUAAUUAUCUACAUCCUAGACAUCUGCUGGAAUGCUGCUUUCUAAACCUUACUUGUAUUGACAAUCUUGACCUCAAAUCAGGUAGGACUACCCGCUGAACUUAAGCAUAUCAAUAAGCGAGGA
Molecule: unclassified non-coding RNA, 376 nt
Filed under: soil metagenome
Description: partial contains 5.8S ribosomal RNA, internal transcribed spacer 2, and large subunit ribosomal RNA
Rfam family: 5.8S ribosomal RNA (bases 1-120)
Source: RNAcentral